Molecule: non-coding RNA, 332 nt
Organism: Chiloscyllium plagiosum (whitespotted bambooshark)
Lineage: Eukaryota; Metazoa; Chordata; Chondrichthyes; Orectolobiformes; Hemiscylliidae
Source: RefSeq, a predicted model, not a curated record
CGGGGGUGCGGCUGGCUUUUGAUUGACGUAGAUUGCAGCCAAUUGAACCCGGAGUUAGGAUCGUUGUGUCCAAUAGGAGGCAGGGGCAUGUGGGGCGGACCUAGGCAGGUUAGGUUGAGCCAACCGGCCUGAGAACGGGAGGAACAGCGGCCGGCCAGUUGGGGAGGGAAGGCUAGAGAUAGAGAGCAGGGCAGGCAAGCAAGCAGCGCCACCAGGACCACAGCAACAUCGUGGGAGAGUAAAUUUGGAGGUGAACGAGCCCACUUACCCAGCUUCUCGUCAGCGGGCGGCGGGAGAAUUCCUACAGUGUGGAAACAGGCCAUUUGGCCUUU